Molecule: long non-coding RNA, 1001 nt
Filed under: Cavia porcellus (domestic guinea pig)
Lineage: Eukaryota; Metazoa; Chordata; Mammalia; Rodentia; Caviidae
Description: lncRNA (ENSCPOG00000032996.1)
Source: RNAcentral
GCAUGGAUGAUUCGCUAGAAUAGAAACGAGUACCCUAAGAAAAACGCAUAAGCAGCCUAGCGCAAAGGGAGCAGGGGUCUCAGCACUAGCGACCCGUAGGUCGCAGGUCUGGCUCGGCGGCGCCCUCCCUGGGGUCGCCGGGGACAUUGGAUCCUUUCUACUCAAGGCAGGAAGGGCGCCGUUCCCAGCCGCAGAGCGCAGCGCGCUCACGGGGUGGGGCCGCCGGGUGGGCCCCAGCAUCCAGCAGCCGCAGCUCCGGGCACUGGGGCUUCACUGCAGCUAUUGCGCAGACUCUGCGUUCCACGCAGGCUUAUUAGGAAGAAAGAGGGCAAAACUGCCCGGAGGCACGUGAACGCGUAGGGACCAACCGGGCCUCCGCGCCCCGCCGCAUCCCAGUCCCGAAUUUACGAUCACGAAAGUUCGACCGCCCGCGGAUUGGCUCUCGGGCCGCAUGACGUCAUAGCGCUUGAUCCCUGCUCGCAGCCGGGAUUGGCUGGCCGCGGCACUGUGACGUCACGGUCAGCCCACGCUCCGGCUGUGGACAGCGGCGCCUUCCUCUUACCCGCGGCCGGCGCUCCUCUCGCUUCGCAUCCUCGUCGGCUCCAGCUGGCCGCGGGAGUCCCGCCGCCGCUGCCGCCGCUGCGCUGUCCUCGGAGCCGCUGCUACCUCGGAGGAGGACAUAUACUUCUCCUCCCCUGUAAAUCUGUACCCCUGACCUUAAGGUGCUUCUCCACCGUCAGUGAAGAACCGCUGGUGAGGAGAGGAGAGUCCUGGUCCUGUCAAGCUCACCUAGCCAGGGACUGGCAGAGCCAGAAGUUUUAAAAUGGAAAAUUUCGAUGCGUCGCUCAGUACCUAUUUCAGGGCCUGGCUAGGCCCCCGAGGUGAGGCGCUCUCUGGUUUUGCUCUGUCCACAGCUCUCUGCCUGAUGCUAGAGCCACUUGGGAAUACUGCUCGAGGCUUCCAGAAGGUGUUCUUGCUUUCUGUGACCAGACAGACCUCGC